This 521-nucleotide ribosomal RNA is filed under the name Rhodococcus sp. AP2Hx. RNAcentral describes it as "bacterial SSU rRNA". It matches the Rfam family "Bacterial small subunit ribosomal RNA", at positions 338 to 870 of the family's 1533-position model. The record is from RNAcentral. Lineage: Bacteria; Bacillati; Actinomycetota; Actinomycetes; Mycobacteriales; Nocardiaceae.
CCUACGGGAGGCAGCAGUGGGGAAUAUUGCACAAUGGGCGGAAGCCUGAUGCAGCGACGCCGCGUGAGGGAUGAAGGCCUUCGGGUUGUAAACCUCUUUCAGCAGGGACGAAGCGUGAGUGACGGUACCUGCAGAAGAAGCACCGGCUAACUACGUGCCAGCAGCCGCGGUAAUACGUAGGGUGCGAGCGUUGUCCGGAAUUACUGGGCGUAAAGAGUUCGUAGGCGGUUUGUCGCGUCGUUUGUGAAAACCCGGGGCUCAACUUCGGGCUUGCAGGCGAUACGGGCAGACUUGAGUGUUUCAGGGGAGACUGGAAUUCCUGGUGUAGCGGUGAAAUGCGCAGAUAUCAGGAGGAACACCGGUGGCGAAGGCGGGUCUCUGGGAAACAACUGACGCUGAGGAACGAAAGCGUGGGUAGCAAACAGGAUUAGAUACCCUGGUAGUCCACGCCGUAAACGGUGGGCNNUAGGUGUGGGUUCCUUCCACGGGAUCUGUGCCGUAGCUAACGCAUUAAGCGCCCC